GAUGUGAAAUGCCCGGGCUNACUGGAACUGCAUUGUGACUGCAUGGCUAGAGNNUGUUCAGAGGGGGUAGAAUUCACGUGUAGCAGUGAAAUGCGUAGAGAUGUGGAGGAAUACCGAUGCGAAGGCAGCCCCUGGGAUAACACUGACGCUCAUGCACGAAAGCGUGGGGAGCAAACAGGAUUAGAUACCUGGUAGUCACGCCCUAAACGAUGUCUACUAGUUGUCGGGUCUUAAUUGACUUGGUAACGCAGCUAACGCGUGAAGUAGACCGCCUGGGGAGUACGGUCGCAAGAUUAAAACUCAAAGGAAUUGACGGGGACCCGCACAAGCGGUGGAUGAUGUGGAUUAAUUCGAUGCAACGCGAAAAACCUUACCUACCCUUGACAUGGCUGGAAUCCUUAAGAGAUUAGGGAGUGCUCGCAAGAGAACCAGUACACAGGUGCUGCAUGGCUGUCGUCAGCUCGUGUCGUGAGAUGUUGGGUUAAGUCCCGCAACGAGCGCAACCCUUGUCAUUAGUUGCUACGAAAGGGCACUCUAAUGAGACUGCCGGUGACAAACCGGAGGAAGGUGGGGAUGACGUCAAGUCCUCAUGGCCCUUAUGGGUAGGGCUUCACACGUCAUACAAUGGUACAUACAGAGGGCCGCCAACCCGCGAGGGGGAGCUAAUCCCAGAAAGUGUAUCGUAGUCCGGAUUGUAGUCUGCAACUCGACUGCAUGAAGUUGGAAUCGCUAGUAAUCGCGGAUCAGCAUGUCGCGGUGAAUACGUUCCCGGGUCUUGUACACACCGCCCGUCACACCAUGGGAGCGGGUUUCACCAGAAGUAGGUAGCUUAACCGCAAGGAGGGCGCUUACCACGGUGGGAUUCGUG
This 868-nucleotide ribosomal RNA is filed under the name uncultured bacterium. RNAcentral describes it as "bacterial SSU rRNA". It matches the Rfam family "Bacterial small subunit ribosomal RNA", at positions 591 to 1473 of the family's 1533-position model. The record is from RNAcentral.